GGAACCAGCUUGAGUUAGAACUAAAACAGGAAAAAGAAAGAAGAUUACAAAACGACAGGAGCAUCCCAGGAAGGGGUUCCCAGAAGUCAGAAUCCAAGAUGGAUGGGAAGCACAAAAUGCAAGAGGAAAAUGUUAAACUAAAAAAGCCCCUGGAAGAAAGCCACAGGCUGCAACCCCACCCUAUGGAUGAACAGAAUGUGUGUAAGAACUGCAGCGGAACCUUCUGUGAUGCCUGUUCAACAAAUGAACUGCCUCUUCCUUCAAGUAUCAAGCUUGAGCGAGUUUGCAAUCCCUGUCACAAGCAUCUGAUGAAGCAAUAUUCUACCAGCCCAUCAUAAGACUGGAGGCCAAGACCUGGACCAAAACGUUUAUGCAGGCUCCUCUGUACCUGUGUUUUAGCUGUCAGGAUCUCAUAGAGCCCAGUUCUUAGAGUCAACUAAAGAGUUGAUAGGAAUUUACUAGGUCCAGGGAGAAAAGGCAGUGGUUGGGGUUACUGGAAAUUUUGCUCAUUUUCUCUAAUGACUGUAUGAAUAAAAGUGAACUUACUUGAGCCUUUCUCUUCUAAAUCUAAACAACCUGAUAUUGAAGGUUUGCUUUAUAGCAUAUCUUUGGAAAGGCAACUCAUUUUUAUGAUUAGUGAUACUGGGGUGGAUUUAAUAGGAGAGAGAAUCCAGGCAGAUAA
RNAcentral lists this long non-coding RNA (682 nucleotides) under Homo sapiens (human). Its description in RNAcentral is "HSALNT0073433". The record is from RNAcentral. Lineage: Eukaryota; Metazoa; Chordata; Mammalia; Primates; Hominidae.